Long non-coding RNA from Mangifera indica (mango), 964 nucleotides. RefSeq lists it as uncharacterized. The record is from RefSeq and is a predicted model, not a curated record. The transcript is spliced from 2 exons. Lineage: Eukaryota; Viridiplantae; Streptophyta; Magnoliopsida; Sapindales; Anacardiaceae.
AUAAUUUUAUUCAUUCUGAAUUUGGUUAGUUGGAUUAUCAGCUGCUUAGCUAUUUUAUUCUCGUUAGAUGAGGUAUUCAUGCAUUGGAUGAUAAUUGUGUAGUUUUAAUAAUAUGUGAAUUCAAGUUGCUGCAUUGGUGGGUAUCCAUAAUUUUCCCAAUGAAAGUGGAAAUUAUGAUUUUAGGGAAGUGGGAUAAUCACUUAACGGACCGAAAAAAUUGUUGACGAUUGGUGACUUGAUAUUAGGGAUGUAAUAUGUGGUUUGUGAUUAUGUACAUCUCAUUUCAGUAAGGAAUGUUAGACCGUCGAAAUAUACGAUAGGCCUACUAGUUUACCUGCAAGUCAAGAGAUGUACUGCUUUGAGAGCUAUGGGGGACUUUCUUUCAAAGGGUGGAUUCGGUUUAAACCAAAUUUUGAAAUUGGUUUGAGUUCAGAUAAAAGUUAAAAUCUCUAAUUUAAGUUUGAGUUUAAAUUCAUUUAAAUUAUUGUAAAUUGUUAUCGGGGGGUUGUUUGUGGGUGAAUAAUGUUGUUAAAGAGGUAUAAAAUGUAAUUGGAUGGAAAAACAAGUCGGCUUUAAAUUGAGGUAUUAAAUUGUUUGAACCGAGUCAUAGAUUUGAUUUGAGCCAAUCGGAUAGAAUUCACCCUUAAUCUUCGUACAUGGCAUACGUUGCUUUAUGCAUGACUCCCACCCAAUUAACAGAAACACUAAAUCACGCCUUCUACCACUUGUUUAUAUUAACCACUACUCCUGUUUUCACUCCGCUACAGUUGACUCAUCAUCUUGAAAAAUUGAGACAAACCAUUUCUCUCUUUCGCUCUCUUAUCCUCAGGUACAGUUGAAAAACGCUUGUGUUGUGAUCCUUUAUUUAAUGGAUAGCGAAAGAAGUUUAAAUGGUACCAGUAGUAGUAAUAAUAAUAACACAGAGAAGACAAUGUCUCAAACUGAAGCUGAGGCUCUGAAGAAA